RNAcentral lists this long non-coding RNA (804 nucleotides) under Gallus gallus (chicken). Its description in RNAcentral is "long non-coding RNA NONGGAT012109". Lineage: Eukaryota; Metazoa; Chordata; Aves; Galliformes; Phasianidae. The record is from RNAcentral.
CAGUAACCCCAUGGCAGCUCUAACGUUUGUUGGUGCAUCCCGAUUUUUUUCUGGUGAUAAUCCAGUGAUUUCACUGCAGAAAUGGAGCUGAUAACCCAACAUCAACAAGCUAAACAGGAUGUCAAGAUCAAGCCCACCCCACUGCCGGAAGGAAUUGGUAGGUCUGUCUACCUCCAUGAGAGGGCACUGCUCUUCACAGAAAGCCUUGGGCACCUUGGUGGUGCGUUAUAGCCUAAAUAGAAAUAGUUAAGCUUAGCAAGAGGACGUCUCAAAAGGUAUUAUCCCUGCAUCACAGCGUAAGGGCAGAGCAGUGCUUGCGUUGCAGUACUUCCUGCAACGUGACAACACCCUUCCUGCAGCAGUUGUGAGGAAGGGCUCCUAUGGGCAGACUGAGGGUUGACUGUGUAACAGGGCUCUCGUUUUCUCAGCAGCAAAAUGACAACAACGGGGGAACAGCUACGAAGUUCUGCUGCCCCAGGAAGAAGCUGUGUUGGGCAUGAGGCAGCACUGUCUGCUCCUGCUUCCUUCUCUGUUGGACAGAAUGCAGCUGGAAAUAAGUCUGGAAGGCGCUCACUGUCAUGGGGAACCUCUGCCCCUGCAUGUGUAGCAGCAAGCUCCCAACUGCUCACUGCAGCCACACGGACACACGGUGAAGAGGAAAGCAGAUUUCAACAGCAGGCAGUGAUUUGUCUACGAUGAAAGACAAAAUACGUAUUCGUUAUGUAGUACGCGUGCAUCGCUUCAUAUGCCUUUGUUGAAAGCAAUCUUGAGCAGGGAAUUCAUCCUCUUAAAUAGGUUACUCGG